Molecule: transfer RNA, 86 nt
Filed under: Staphylococcus aureus
Lineage: Bacteria; Bacillati; Bacillota; Bacilli; Caryophanales; Staphylococcaceae
Description: tRNA-Leu
Rfam family: tRNA
About the family: Transfer RNA (tRNA) molecules are approximately 80 nucleotides in length. Their secondary structure includes four short double-helical elements and three loops (D, anti-codon, and T loops). Further hydrogen bonds mediate the characteristic L-shaped molecular structure. tRNAs have two regions of fundamental functional importance: the anti-codon, which is responsible for specific mRNA codon recognition, and the 3' end, to which the tRNAs corresponding amino acid is attached (by aminoacyl-tRNA synthetases). tRNAs cope with the degeneracy of the genetic code in two manners: having more than one tRNA (with a specific anti-codon) for a particular amino acid; and 'wobble' base-pairing, i.e. permitting non-standard base-pairing at the 3rd anti-codon position.
Source: RNAcentral
GCCGGGGUGGCGGAACUGGCAGACGCACAGGACUUAAAAUCCUGCGGUGAGUGAUCACCGUACCGGUUUAGCUCCUGUCCCUGGCA